This 339-nucleotide ribosomal RNA is filed under the name uncultured Acidobacteriota bacterium. Its description in RNAcentral is "bacterial SSU rRNA". It matches the Rfam family "Bacterial small subunit ribosomal RNA", at positions 1020 to 1356 of the family's 1533-position model. The record is from RNAcentral. Lineage: Bacteria; Pseudomonadati; Acidobacteriota.
GCAAGGGCACUCGUAGAGGUGCUGCAUGGCUGUCGUCAGCUCGUGUCGUGAGAUGUUGGGUUAAGUCCCGCAACGAGCGCAACCCUUGUCCUCUGUUGCCAUCAGGUUAUGCUGGGCACUCUGAGGAGACUGCCGGUGAUAAACCGGAGGAAGGUGGGGAUGACGUCAAGUCAGCAUGGCCUUUAUGUCUGGGGCUACACACGUGCUACAAUGGCCGGUACAAACCGUCGCGAUACCGCAAGGUGGAGCUAAUCGGAGAAAGCCGGUCUCAGUUCGGAUUGCAGGCUGCAAGAGGAGGAGAAGAGAAGUUGGAAUCGCUAGUAAUCGCGGAUCAGCACG